Molecule: ribosomal RNA, 663 nt
Filed under: Bacillus sp. DBT19
Lineage: Bacteria; Bacillati; Bacillota; Bacilli; Caryophanales; Bacillaceae
Description: bacterial SSU rRNA
Rfam family: Bacterial small subunit ribosomal RNA
Source: RNAcentral
GGCAGUGCGGCAGCUAUAAUGCAGUCGAGCGGACAGAUGGGAGCUUGCUCCCUGAUGUUAGCGGCGGACGGGUGAGUAACACGUGGGUAACCUGCCUGUAAGACUGGGAUAACUCCGGGAAACCGGGGCUAAUACCGGAUGGUUGUUUGAACCGCAUGGUUCAGACAUAAAAGGUGGCUUCGGCUACCACUUACAGAUGGACCCGCGGCGCAUUAGCUAGUUGGUGAGGUAACGGCUCACCAAGGCAACGAUGCGUAGCCGACCUGAGAGGGUGAUCGGCCACACUGGGACUGAGACACGGCCCAGACUCCUACGGGAGGCAGCAGUAGGGAAUCUUCCGCAAUGGACGAAAGUCUGACGGAGCAACGCCGCGUGAGUGAUGAAGGUUUUCGGAUCGUAAAGCUCUGUUGUUAGGGAAGAACAAGUGCCGUUCAAAUAGGGCGGCACCUUGACGGUACCUAACCAGAAAGCCACGGCUAACUACGUGCCAGCAGCCGCGGUAAUACGUAGGUGGCAAGCGUUGUCCGGAAUUAUUGGGCGUAAAGGGCUCGCAGGCGGUUUCUUAAGUCUGAUGUGAAAGCCCCCGGCUCAACCGGGGAGGGUCAUUGGAAACUGGGGAACUUGAGUGCAGAAGAGGAGAGUGGAAUUCCACGUGUAGCGGUG